This is a non-coding RNA of Dipodomys ordii (Ord's kangaroo rat), 57 nucleotides long. Lineage: Eukaryota; Metazoa; Chordata; Mammalia; Rodentia; Heteromyidae. The record is from Rfam.
GGCUCAGUGGUAGAGUGCUUGCCUUGUAUGCAUGAAGCCCUGGGUUCGAUUCCUCAG